Molecule: ribosomal RNA, 497 nt
Filed under: uncultured bacterium
Lineage: Bacteria
Description: partial 16S ribosomal RNA
Rfam family: Bacterial small subunit ribosomal RNA
Source: RNAcentral
GAUGAACGCUGGCGGCGUGCCUAAUACAUGCAAGUCGAGCGAACAGACGAGGAGCUUGCUCCUCUGACGUUAGCGGCGGACGGGUGAGUAACACGUGGAUAACCUACCUAUAAGACUGGGAUAACUUCGGGAAACCGGAGCUAAUACCGGAUAAUAUAUUGAACCGCAUGGUUCAAUAGUGAAAGACGGUUUUGCUGUCACUUAUAGAUGGAUCCGCGCCGCAUUAGCUAGUUGGUAAGGUAACGGCUUACCAAGGCAACGAUGCGUAGCCGACCUGAGAGGGUGAACGGCCACACUGGAACUGAGACACGGUCCAGACUCCUUCGGGAGGCAGAAGUAGGGAAUCUUUCGCAAUGGGCGAAAGCCUGAAGGAGCAACGCCGGGUGAGUGAUGAAGGUCUUCGGAUCGUAAAACUCUGUUAUUAGGGAAGAACAAAUGUGUAAGUAACUAUGCACGUCUUGACGGUACCUAAUCAGAAAGCCACGGCUAACUACGUG